UUGCAAAGGGGGGCCCAGCAGCACACACUGUCUUCCUUUCCAGCUCCUCUCUGACGAACUCUGCGUGCUGUGCGGAGCGUUGCCAUGGUAACCCGUGGCAACGCUCUGGCGGCCGCAAAAGAGUUAGAAAGAGAGGAGCUGGAAGGAGGACAGAGUGUGCUGCUGGGCCCACCUCUGCA
This is a non-coding RNA of Pelobates cultripes (western spadefoot toad), 179 nucleotides long. Lineage: Eukaryota; Metazoa; Chordata; Amphibia; Anura; Pelobatidae. The record is from the annotation of a GenBank genome assembly.